UGCUGAGAACAAAAGUAGGAGUUAGGAGCCUCUUCUGGAGGAGAGACAGGAUCUGUCAAAGGUCAGAGGGAGAGUGUGAAGCAAGGCUUGGGGUAGAGGUGUGUGUGGGUGUGACCUAAAAGGAAGAACUUUGAGUUGAUCAACAUAACAAAGAGCCCUGAAUGUCCCGUCCUGACGAGGGUUCAGAGGUCAAUGCCUACUGCACUCAAAAGAGGGUUUGAGACAUUUCUCAUGUCAUUCUCCCUCCCUGACCCAGGAACUGCAUUGGGAAGCGGUUUGCCAUGAAUGAGCUGCAGGUGGCUGUGGCCUUGACCCUGCUCCGCUUUGAGCUGGCACCAGAUCCUUCCAGAGUUCCCAUUCCAGUACAAGAAGUUGUGUUGAGUUCCAAGAAUGGGAUCCACCUACAGCUCAGGAAGAUCUGUAACCCUUGCUGACACAAAGACAAGGGUUCUGGAGUCAGGAGUCUGAAAUGGGUUUCACUGGACCACAACCAAGGUGUUGGCAGGACCACCCUACCUCCAGGGCUCUGGGAGAGAAUCCCACUCUUUGCCUUUUCAGCAUCUGGAGCUACAUUUCUUAUAUUCCUUGGCUCCUGGAGCCUCCCUGCCUCCAUAUUCAAUCCAGCAGCACCUGCAAAUGUCUCUGCUUCUAUAUUCACGUUACUUUCUCUUUUGUGGGGACAUUUGUGAUUACACGGGCCCACUCAGAUUAAACAGGACAUAGCCACAGCUUGUAGGGAUUAGAUCGGGAAAUCUUGGGCAGCCAUAAUUCUAAUAAGCCCCGAUGUGACUACCAUCAGUCUCUUCUGUGUGUUACCUGUCUACCCGUUUGUCAUUCCCUCACCCGCUCCUUCUUUCCUCCCUGGAAUAAAGUUCACAACGUCA
Molecule: long non-coding RNA, 884 nt
Organism: Rhinolophus ferrumequinum (greater horseshoe bat)
Lineage: Eukaryota; Metazoa; Chordata; Mammalia; Chiroptera; Rhinolophidae
Exons: 2
Source: RefSeq, a predicted model, not a curated record